This 515-nucleotide ribosomal RNA is filed under the name uncultured bacterium. RNAcentral's name for it is "bacterial SSU rRNA". It matches the Rfam family "Bacterial small subunit ribosomal RNA", at positions 8 to 502 of the family's 1533-position model. The record is from RNAcentral.
AGAGUUUGAUCCUGGCUCAGAAUAAACGCUGGCGGCGUGCCUAACACAUGCAAGUUGAGCGGUAAGGCCCCUUCGGGGGUACACGAGCAGCGAACGGGUGAGUAUCGCGUGGGUAACCUACCCAGAAGUAGGGGAUAGCCUCGGGAAACCGGGGGUAAUACCGCAUAAGGUUUCGACGACAUAAGUCGAUGAAAGCAAAGGCGGGGAUCCUUCGGGACCUGUCGCUUCUGGAUGGGCCCGCGUCCGAUUAGCUAGUUGGUGAGGUAAUGGCUCACCAAGGCUUCGAUCGGUAGCCGGCCUGAGAGGGUGAACGGCCACAUUGGGACUGAGACACGGCCCAGACUCCUACGGGAGGCAGCAGUGGGGAAUCUUGGGCAAUGGGGGAAACCCUGACCCAGCGACGCCGCGUGGAGGAUGACGGCCUUCGGGUUGUAAACUCCUGUCAGGUGGGAAGAAAAGCUUGUCGGCUAAUACCCGGCAGGAAUUGACGUACCACCAAAGAAGCCCCGCUAACU